ACCGGGACUUCGGUCCUGGGGACAGCGGCGAACGGGUGAGUAACACGUGGGUAAUCUGCCCUCGAUUCUGGGAUAGCCCGGGGAAACCCGGAUUAAUACCGGAUAGCCUUUCGAGCUUUCGGGCUUGAAAGAAAAGGUAGCUUCGGCCUCCGAUCGAGGAUGAGCCCGCGGUGGAUUAGCUUGUUGGCGGGGUAAUGGCCCACCAAGGCGACGAUCCAUAGCUGGUCUGAGAGGACGAUCAGCCACACUGGGACUGAGACACGGCCCAGACUCCUACGGGAGGCAGCAGUGGGGAAUCUUGCGCAAUGGGCGAAAGCCUGACGCAGCGACGCCGCGUGGGGGAAGAAGGCCUUAGGG
Molecule: ribosomal RNA, 357 nt
Filed under: uncultured bacterium
Lineage: Bacteria
Description: bacterial SSU rRNA
Rfam family: Bacterial small subunit ribosomal RNA
Source: RNAcentral